UUUUUUUUGAGAAGAGCAGCUGUGGAUUUUCCAGUAAUAAAAACAAGUCCAACUUUAUCGAAUUUGGCUGUAUUCUUGGAGCUGCUCUAUUAAUUAGGCCGUAUUUGUAAGGAGACAACAAGCAAAACACUUCUAAGUAGAAUUACACGAAAAUUGCAUAAUCAAUUGCUGCAUCAAAACAACAUUAACACUCCAUCGAAAUGUUAAGUGAAAAACAAAACAAAGAAACCCUUCAAAGUCACCAAAAUUUGGGAGAAGCCUUCACAUGGGAAUCACUAUUAUUUGUAUACAAGUUCCACUCCUGUGUAUGUACCGUGACUGGAAAAGGCAAUAUAAUCAAUGAAGCCUCACAUUAGUCUUAAUUCAUAUUCACCAGCCAUUGUUAUGUAUCUGACCCACGGUAGAGCCACGUAUCCACUUUUCUCAAUGAUCUUUAGAUACCGAACCUGAAUUCCAGAGACAGUAAAAUAUGGUAUCUCAAACUUCACACGGAUCGGAGCUUUUCUCUCAGGAGCUGCUUCUUCAGCUGUUAUACUAGGGAGACCAAAUUCUGCCCUCAACAUGUACUCCUUGUUACCAGGAAAAGAUUUGAUUUUCCAGACCAAAGCAUCAUUUUCAGGGGCAUAUGUAGCAGAACCCAUUGAUGUCCGGAUAUUAGGAUUUGUAGCAUCAGAUGGCACAGGCAAUUCAAUUUCAAUGUUAGUUGCAGUACUUCGCUCCUUAAAUUGGCUCCGAGCUUUCACCAUUAUCUCAAUUCGACUUCUAGAAUGCCUUUCAACUUGAGCUUCUACCCAAAUAAGAGGUUUCACCUGAGUACUAAGCCUAUACGUCAUCAAAUCAAAAGAUCCAUCAGGUGGUAUGAAGGAUAUCGUCCGAUCAUUUUCAAAUCUAGCUAAACGCACACACUGAUGGAAUUUGAUAUCAUCCAGAUCAAUAGCUUUCCCUUUUGUUGCUCGACCUUGAGCCUCCAGAAGUACUCUAUCAUUCAGGCCAAGUUUACAUUCAGGCAUGCCACUCAAGUAUGUUCUCAUCUUGAGUGCCCCGACAACAUCUGAACGUAUUAUUUGCCCAUUGCUGUUGACCAGUAUGUUGACACUCUCCACCACAUCUAAAAAUACUUCAUUCUUCUUGUACCGUAUCCCUUCACUUCGCCAGGACACAGCAUUUGUUACAGCCAUUGGAGGUCGCUGAGCAACUUCCAUCCUAUAAGCAUCAGUCUUGAUGAACUCACUAAGAAUCUUUGCUUCAGUAUAUUGAGGGAAACCAAAGUCCAUGAUUUCAUCAAGCAACUCAUACACAACCACAAAGUUAUCUCUCAAAGAUUCCUCUUCUAACACUUCAAAAUAAUGCUUAAACACAUCAACUACACGGUGAAGAAAGAGAAGAAGGCUGGCAGCAUUACAAUUCUGCCUAGAUGCAGUCAUCAAGUAAACAUUGUUGUGCUGUAUAAACAAGUAAGUCACUCCAUUGUCAUAGACCACUGGAUCCUGAGACUGUGGAUCACCCUCCUUCUCGAUGAGCUUGGUGAAGAAGCGCUCGGCCUGAACAGCAGAGACGUCGCCGCGAUAGUCGCGCCAAAUCAAGACACGGCCUUUGAUAUCGAGAAGAAAAAGCGCCGAGGCGGCGCCAGCCAUCGAUGGAAGGAAUCGAAUUUGCAGAUAUGAAUCAGCGACUGUGUUUUGCAACAGGUCAGAAUUGAAAAUGAAUGAAUCCAAGCGAAGAAUGAUCU
Molecule: unclassified non-coding RNA, 1729 nt
Filed under: Hevea brasiliensis (rubber tree)
Lineage: Eukaryota; Viridiplantae; Streptophyta; Magnoliopsida; Malpighiales; Euphorbiaceae
Source: RNAcentral